Molecule: ribosomal RNA, 255 nt
Filed under: uncultured bacterium
Lineage: Bacteria
Description: partial 16S ribosomal RNA
Rfam family: Bacterial small subunit ribosomal RNA
Source: RNAcentral
UACAGAGGUCCCAAGCGUUGUUCGGAUUCAUUGGGCGUAAAGGGUGCAUAGGUGGCGCUGUAAGUCAGGUGUGAAAUUUCGGAGCUUAACUCCGAAACUGCAUUUGAUACUGCGGUGCUUGAGGACUGGAGAGGAGACUGGAAUUUACGGUGUAGCAGUGAAAUGCGUAGAGAUCGUAAGGAAGACCAGUGGCGAAGGCGGGUCUCGUGGACAGUUCCUGACACUGAGGCACGAAGGCCAGGGGAGCAAACGGGG